GAUGAACGCUGGCGGCGUGCCUAAUACAUGCAAGUCGAGCGAACAGACGAGGAGCUUGCUCCUCUGACGUUAGCGGCGGACGGGUGAGUAACACGUGGAUAACCUACCUAUAAGACUGGGAUAACUUCGGGAAACCGGAGCUAAUACCGGAUAAUAUAUUGAACCGCAUGGUUCAAUAGUGAAAGACGGUUUUGCUGUCACUUAUAGAUGGAUCCGCGCCGCAUUAGCUAGUUGGUAAGGUAACGGCUUACCAAGGCGACGAUGCGUAGCCGACCUGAGAGGGUGAUCGGCCACACCGGAACUGAGACACGGUCCAGACCCCCAGGGGAGGCAGCAGGAGGGAAUCUUCCGCAAGGGGCGAAAGCCUGACGGAGCAACGCCGCGGGAGUGAUGAAGGGUUUGGGAUCGUAAAACUUUGUUAUUGGGGAAGAAAAAAUGUGUAAGUAACUAUGCACGUUUUGACGGUACCAAAUAAAAAAGCCACGGCUAACUACGU
RNAcentral lists this ribosomal RNA (496 nucleotides) under uncultured bacterium. RNAcentral describes it as "partial 16S ribosomal RNA". It matches the Rfam family "Bacterial small subunit ribosomal RNA", at positions 28 to 506 of the family's 1533-position model. The record is from RNAcentral.